AGAUGCCCAGUAAUGGAAUUGCUGGAUCAAAUGGAUCAAUGGAAUUGCUGGUGGAUCUACUUGUACCUCUUUAAGAUCAGCUCCUCUCUGACGCUUUCUUAGAUGGCUUUAGUGUCACUGAUUAAUACUACAAUCAAGAGCCAUUUCUGUUGGCCUGGCAGAUGAAGCAGAGUCAAAUUUUCCAGAAUUUGAGGGGCGGAUUCCUGUCUGAGCUAAUACUGUUUAUUAUAUCAGCAGUUUGGGAAAGAUUUCGGCUUCUCUGAAUUUUUCCCAAGUUGGCUAGUCUGCUAUGUGUGUUGGUAAAUCAACAUGACCCCCUUUCUCGGCAGCCCUGACGACUUUCUUCUCUACAGCUAUAGGCACCAGAGAGUGAACCUGCCAUGCUGCAAUAUUUGGACGCUGAGGCAGAAGAUCUUCCAAGUGGAAAUCCAGGAAGGCGGAAGUAAACACAGAUCAGAGUGAAUGAAUGUCUUCGGGGUGUUGGCAGGGUGAUACAUGGUGAGGACCAGAUAGGAUGAAUCGUGUCAAGAAACGUAACACAUGGGUGGAGGUGGGAGGUAAUGUCACAAUGCAUGCACUUGUUUUAGAAUUAACAUAUUAGUAUUGAUCCACAGUGAUGUAAGCAAACCAUUUGACUUUGCUUUUCUGGAAAAUAAACAUGGAAAAUCCCAUGGAAUCAUAACGUUGGGGUAAGAGAUUAAGGGCUAUUGACCCAAAGGAAACAGUGCUGACCUGUCUCCUCUGUAACAUAUCACUCUCCAGCCACCAAGCCCUCAGGAUGGUCAGAAUGACGUAGCAGAAAGGGUGGGAUUUGAAGUCCAGCAAACCUGGUUUUUAAUUACAGCUCCUCCACUUACU
Non-coding RNA from Microcebus murinus (gray mouse lemur), 858 nucleotides. Lineage: Eukaryota; Metazoa; Chordata; Mammalia; Primates; Cheirogaleidae. The record is from RefSeq and is a predicted model, not a curated record.